GAAAGAAGAAGAGAGACGUGAUCAUCUUGGUGAUUUACGUUGUUGAUUCGGUCAAUUUUUAUUUGCCACGAUCGAUUUCUUAAUAGCUAGCAAAACUUGCUAGUUACUUGGAGAUGAAGAAAUCCUGAAGAAGAACACGUUGUUCAUGUCACGCACUACAAAAGAUGGCAUAAACAAACGAUUUACUUUGGUAAGAAAAAAAACCAUAUGGUUAUGUUUGGUUUUUAACCGGUCUUCAUGUGGUUUUCGUUUAACAACGAAAAGGAUGGAAGCCACGAAGAUGAUUCUAACGGAUACGAUG
RNAcentral lists this long non-coding RNA (301 nucleotides) under Arabidopsis lyrata. RNAcentral describes it as "long non-coding RNA (ALYR_LNC000941)". Lineage: Eukaryota; Viridiplantae; Streptophyta; Magnoliopsida; Brassicales; Brassicaceae. The record is from RNAcentral.